AGAAUCAACGCUGGCGGCGUGCCUAACACAUGCAAGUCGAACGAGAAAGUGGAGCAAUCCAUGAGUAAAGUGGCGCACGGGUGAGUAACACGUGACUAACCUACCCUUGAGUGGGGGAUAACCUAGGGAAACCUGGGCUAAUACCGCAUAAUACCGAGAGGUCAAAGGAGCAAUUCGCUUAAGGAGGGGUCGCGGCCGAUUAGUUAGUUGGCGGGGUAAUGGCCCACCAAGACUAUGAUCGGUAUCCGGCCUGAGAGGGCGCACGGACACACUGGAACUGAAACACGGUCCAGACUCCUACGGGAGGCAGCAGUGGGGAAUUUGCGCAAUGGGGGAAACCCUGACGCAGCAACGCCGCGUGGAGGAUGAAGUCCCUUGGGACGUAAACUCCCUUCGAUCGGGACGAUUAUGACGGUACCGAGAGAAGAAGCCCCGGCUAACUUCGCGCCAGCAGCCGC
Molecule: ribosomal RNA, 458 nt
Filed under: uncultured bacterium
Lineage: Bacteria
Description: SSU rRNA
Rfam family: Bacterial small subunit ribosomal RNA
Source: RNAcentral